GGAUGGAGAACGCAUAGGUUUCAGUUACUUUGUUUCUCAAAAAUAUACUGGAGAUCAGGCCCUAGUUAAGGUUCUUCGUAAUUCUAAGACUCUGGAGUUCUAUAUAAAACAUGCAACCCACAGAAGGCUCAUACCAGCUCACAUAAAGGGAAAACCACCUUCAUAGUAUUACAUUGUUGCUGGAUUUGUUUUUUCAGCAGUAUCUGUUCCAUAUUUGUGUUCCGAGGUACACUUACUAAAUUUUGCCUUUUCUUGUAGAACUUUGUCAAUGAAUGUGGCUAUUUUGCUAUGCAUGCAUGUGUGCAAUUUUUCACAUUUACUCGCUAAAAUCAUUUUUCCUCCUCUUGUAGAGAAUUAGUCUUUAUAAAUGUGGUACACUUUUAACUAAAAGAUCUGUUUUUUUUUUUUUCCACUUAUGAAAACGCUCGAGUAUUAACUCAGUUAUGUAUGUAUAUGCUUCUAGAGUGACAUAGUUUCUUUCGUUUGUGAGAGUUUAUCGAUUCUGCUCAUGAUAUAUUUAAUACAAAAGGUUAAAUCUUCAGUUCAUUUUUUAUAUAAUCAUUAAAUUACCGAUUUAGAUCAUCUAAUGGACAACCAAUAUAUGUAUGUAUAUGCCAAACUUUAAAUAUAUGAAGUUAAUUUUAUAUUUUUUUCUUAUAUCUUUAGAAACCAAAAAUUAUUAUUUUGAGUGGAAGUAGAGGUCACACUUUUUUCAUAUAAACAGAGCUGCUUCCUGCUUUAGUCAUUUUACUAUUCAUCUAGAAAGCAAGGAUACUUCAUCUAGGUGAAGAACUGCGCAGGGGAUACUUGGGGGUGCAGGGGUGCGGCGGGAUACGCAUGGGAUACGCCACGUGUCGUAUCUGUGGAGGCAGUGAUGGGAUACGCGGGGGUGCGGGGAUGGGGGUGCGGCAGUUGCACAAAUCGUAAUUUACAACAAUUUCUUUUUUAAAUUAAAAAACUUAAAAUUAGUUGGUCAAAAGAACGAAAAGAGGGGUAAAAGCCUAAUUAGACUUUAUUGUCUCUCUUCACUCGAUUCUCUCUCUAUAGACCAUGCCUCUAUCGUGCUGAAGCUCUUUCUCUCUCUAUACGUCGUCACUCUCUCCACACACUCCAUCUUUCUCCGCACCUAAUCUCCCUUCACACAUUCAGUCUCUAUAUGCUCCCAAUCUCCCUCCACACUGCAUUUUUCUCUUCAAUUUUAAAUUUAUAGCUCUCAUUCGGCUGGAUUGAACAAGGUAAUAUUAGUAUGUAUAAUUAUAGCAACUGACUAGAUCUAGUAUGUGAGAAUUGUCUAUGAUUGAUUCUAUUAAUUUUGCAUGUAUGUUCGAUUUUAUCCGUGAUUCCAUUGAUUUUGCAUGUAUGUUCGAUUUUAUCUGUGAUUCUAUAGUUUUGUAUGUAUAUUCGUGAAUAUAAAAGGGAAAAUUGAAAUUCUGUCCUAGGCAGGAUCGUAAUUGGAACAAAAACAUAUCUUUGUUCAAAUCUGUCGUCUCUAAGGAUUCAACGAACAACUUUUUCAGAGUAGGAUUUAUCUUUGUCACAAAACAUAGUAUACCACAUGAAGUCGACAACAGAGCAAUUAUAUCCGCAUGAAACUGCAAUUUUAUCCCACACAACUCUACAAAAAAAAGUAUGGUGCGGUUAAUUAAAAUUGUACUAAAAUUUAUAACCUGACGUAUUGAUCAAAUUGCAAUGUGGUUAAUUAUAGGAGUUACCUAUUCAUGUAUCUGGUUAUUGCUCAGGUUCAAAUUUUGUAAGUGUACGCCGCUUUUUUUUUUUGAUCACCUGCAGAUUAUAAGAGGUCCUAUGUUGACCUCAUAAAGGUUCUUAACUAAUAAUUUUCUUCCAACAUUUGUUUGUGAUGAUUUUUAGUAUGAAACAGAUUAUGAUGCCCCCGUAAAACUAUUGGAAAAGCAUCUGCAUGGAAUGGCACAAUCAGUUGACGAGCAAGUAGUUGUUCUUUCUCAGAUACAUCUCCCUUUCUGAGUCAUAUCCGCCGACAUUUGUUUACCUCUUGCGCAAAUCCCUGAUGCUGCAUGCAUCUUUUAAAUGCAAAAAUGAACGUCCGGAGUGUUGAUUCGGAGCUCACUACUAAAUUCUCUUUACAAUUGUAUAGGUACUUGUGGCGGAUUUCAAUAUUGACUAUGAGGAUAGUCAACACUCGAGUCAGAAGGAUUGAAUACUAUUUGUAUUUUGAGGACUUCACUAGAUUUCCUUAAAAUUGAGAGUCACGUUAUGUUUAUUUUCACCAACCCAAAGAGGAUAAACAUUUAUUGGAAAAAUAUUUCUAGACACACAAUGAUGCAAGUUAUUAUUAUUUCUGGAACUACAAUGUCAGUAUGUUAAGUUGUCAAAUUGAUGAGGAAAAGGCAACAAAAUAUCAGUAGUCUUAUACUUUGCGAAGAUAUGUCUUACUUUUGCCAGACACAGAGAUACUAUAUUUUUGCUCAGAAGUGUUCAAACAUUUAUAAUGUGUCGGUCUCGGAAUGAAUGUUUGUGGUUUAAUAUAAAAUUUUGCAUGUCCAUGGCCAAGUGUUGAGUUUCAUGGGUACUUGAGUUGAAUAAAGAGUCAGGGUGACAUUGGAUGCUAGUAUGCAUAUUUCUGGCUGCUGACUUCUUUUCCGUUUACUUUUGAAGGUUCAUGCUUUUAAUGGCAAGCCUGUUAAAAAUUCGAAGGGAUUAGCUUACAUGGUGGAAAAGUGUGAUGAAGAAUUCGUUAAUUUUCAUCUUGAAUAUGAACAGGUUGACUGUCUCCUACACUUUGUGUUCUUUACACAAUUGUCACCUACAGAUUGUGGUCCUGCACAUGGAAAAGGCAAAGGCUGCAAUUCCAGAUAUUUUUACCACUCAGUGCAUACCUUCAGCAAUGUCUGAUGAUCUCAAGGCAUAAACAGAUUGUAUGAUGAAGUUAUAUGAAGUGAAUCAUUAUGAAGAGGCCUCUAGUGUUGUACAAUCAGUUUUAAUAUGCAUUUAACUUCGGGAGUGUUUGGUUCAUGUUUAUUGAGUCCGGUUAACGGGAAUCGGAUCUCAUGUGCUGGUGUUUGGAUUUGUCAUUUUGUGAUAUGGAAUAGGAGCCCCAUUCCCACUUGAUGGGUAAAUCAAUUCUUCCAUACUCCUUGGUAUACUCAUUCCCAUAUCCUUCAUUUCCGUUCCAGAUUCCCAUUCUCAUUUACCAUCAAAACACGCCCCUCAUAUGUUUUCAACUUGCAUUAGAAGUAGCACUAUGGCGCGUUUGGAUCGUGAGUUGGAAUGAGAAUUAGGAUUGUGAAUGAGGGGUAUGGGAAUGGGUAUCCCAGGAAGAGUGUAAGGAAUGAUAUACCCUCCAAGUGGUAUUGGGUUCCCAUUCCAUGUCAUAAAAUUGCUAAUCCAAACACCAACACAUGGGUUUGAGGUUCCGAUUCUCUUUAGCCGGGCUUAUUAACCAAUCAAACGCCUUCUAUGUCCAUAUUCAUUAGAGAUUUACUCUUGAAUUUUUCGUUAAACUUUGCUAGAUCUCAGAGGUUAUGUUUGAGUUGUUAUGUCAUGACUACAUGCUUGGAUGCUUUUACAGUGAGAUCUUUGUAAUGGUUGUACAACAAUUGAUUACAAUUCUUCCGGUCAAUAAAAUCUGAACUCUUCAGGGUUAUGCUUCAAA
This is a long non-coding RNA of Daucus carota subsp. sativus, 3631 nucleotides long. RefSeq lists it as uncharacterized. NCBI's taxonomy places the organism in Eukaryota, Viridiplantae, Streptophyta, Magnoliopsida, Apiales, Apiaceae. The transcript is spliced from 2 exons. The record is from RefSeq and is a predicted model, not a curated record.